AACGCACCUUGCGCCCCUUGGCAUUCCGAGGGGCACACCCGUUUGAGUGUCGUGAAAUUCUCAAAAACCUUUCUUUGGAAAGGAUUUUGGACUUGGAGGCCUUUUGCUGGUUUCACCUUGAAGCGAGCUCCUCCCAAAUGGAUUAGUGGGGUCUGCUUUGCUGAUCCUUGACGUGAUAAGAUGAUUUCUACGUCUUGGGUUUGGCACUGUCACUUGGGCACCCGCUUCUAACCGUCUUAUAGACAACGAUGGCGUUCCGGUCACCACCGUUUCAUCGGUGGGAGGCUUGACCCACCAAAAAACCUUGACCUCAAAUCGGGUGAGACUACCCGCUGAACUUAA
RNAcentral lists this unclassified non-coding RNA (342 nucleotides) under uncultured Russulaceae. RNAcentral describes it as "sequence contains ITS2". Lineage: Eukaryota; Fungi; Basidiomycota; Agaricomycetes; Russulales; Russulaceae. The record is from RNAcentral.